This 254-nucleotide ribosomal RNA is filed under the name uncultured bacterium. RNAcentral describes it as "partial 16S ribosomal RNA". It matches the Rfam family "Bacterial small subunit ribosomal RNA", at positions 524 to 776 of the family's 1533-position model. The record is from RNAcentral.
UACGGAGGAUCCAAGCGUUAUCCGGAUUCAUUGGGUUUAAAGGGUGCGUAGGCGGAAUGAUAAGUCAGCGGUGAAAUCCCUCGGCUUAACCGAGGAACUGCCGUUGAUACUGUCAAUCUUGAGUACAUUUGAUGUGGGCGGAAUGUGUCAUGUAGCGGUGAAAUGCUUAGAUAUGACACAGAACACCGAUUGCGAAGGCAGCUCACAAAACUGUAAACUGACGCUGAGGCACGAAAGCGUGGGUAUCAAACAGG